CACAUGCAAGUCGAGGGAGAAGCCUUCGGGCUGAAACCGGCGCACGGGUGCGUAACGCGUAUACAAUCUGCCUUUCACAUAGGGAUAGCCCGAAGAAAUUUGGAUUAAUACCUAAUGGUAUAUAGGAGCGGCAUCGUUUUUAUAUUAAAGCUAGGGUGGUGAAAGAUGAGUAUGCGUUCUAUUAGCUAGUUGGAGAGGUAACGGCUCCCCAAGGCGACGAUAGAUAGGGGUUCUGAGAGGGAUGUCCCCCACACUGGUACUGAGAUACGGACCAGACUCCUACGGGAGGCAGCAGUGAGGAAUAUUGGACAAUGGUCGGAAGACUGAUCCAGCCAUGCCGCGUGCAGGAUGAAGGUCCUAUGGAUUGUAAACUGCUUUUGUAAGGGAAGAAUAAGGGGUACGUGUACUUUGAUGACGGUACCUUACGAAUAAGCAUCGGCUAACUCCGUGCCAGCAGCCGCGGUAAUACGGAGGAUGCGAGCGUUUUCCGGAAUCAUUGGGUUUAAAGGGUCCGUAGGCGGGCUAAUAAGUCAGAGGUGAAAGCGUUCAGCUCAACUGAGCAACUGCCUUUGAAACUGUUAGUCUUGAAUGAUUGUGAAGUAGUUGGAAUGUGUAGUGUAGCGGUGAAAUGCUUAGAUAUUACACAGAACACCGAUAGCGAAGGCAUAUUACUAACAAUUUAUUGACGCUGAUGGACGAAAGCGUGGGGAGCGAACAGGAUUAGAUACCCUGGUAGUCCACGCCGUAAACGAUGGAUACUAGCUGUUUGGAGCAAUCUGAGUGGCUAAGCGAAAGUGAUAAGUAUCC
Molecule: ribosomal RNA, 807 nt
Filed under: uncultured Bacteroidota bacterium
Lineage: Bacteria; Pseudomonadati; Bacteroidota
Description: bacterial SSU rRNA
Rfam family: Bacterial small subunit ribosomal RNA
Source: RNAcentral